This is a non-coding RNA of Pelobates cultripes (western spadefoot toad), 117 nucleotides long. Lineage: Eukaryota; Metazoa; Chordata; Amphibia; Anura; Pelobatidae. The record is from the annotation of a GenBank genome assembly.
GUGUGUAUGUCUGUGUGUGUGUGUAUGUCAGUGUGUCUGUGUGUGUAUGUCAGUAUGUCUGUCAUAGACACACACAGACACACACAGACAUACUGACAUACAUACACAAACAGACAU